Molecule: transfer RNA, 235 nt
Filed under: Sanchezia nobilis
Lineage: Eukaryota; Viridiplantae; Streptophyta; Magnoliopsida; Lamiales; Acanthaceae
Description: partial tRNA-His
Source: RNAcentral
GAAGGAGGACAUCUUCUAUUCUUAAUCUUAGGGGUUUAUUAAUGAUUGGGUAUUAUUCGUUUGUUCUCUAUAAAAUAUGAAUUUUUUCUAUCUAUCUAACUUUCUUGUUAAAGAAAUUUUUUUUAUAUUUUCUAAAAAAAGAAAGAAGGUUCUAAAAAGGUCAAAAAUCUGGAGUUGAAAUUAAUUACUUAAAAAAAAAAUGAAAAGUGAACCUAAAUUCUAAAUACAGGGCGGA